UGACGAACCAUGAUGUUCAUUUAUUUGGUGUUGUGGGGAAUCAGGACUGUUACUUUGAAAAAAUUAGAGUCGUUUAAAGCAGGCUCACGCUUGAAUACAUUAGCAUGGAAUAAUGAAAUAGGACGUUUGAUUCUAUUUUGUUGGUUUCUAGGAUCGACGUAAUGAUUAAUAGGGAUAGUUGGGGGCAUUAGUAUUCAAUUGUCAGAGGUGAAAUUCUUGGAUUUAUUGAAGACUAACUACUGCGAAAGCAUUUGCCAAGGAUGUUUUCAUUAAUCAAGAACGAAAGUUAGGGGAUCGAAGACGAUCAGAUACUGUCGUAGUCUUAACCAUAAACUAUGCCGACUAGGGAUCGGAUGAUGUUAAUUUUUUAAUGACUCAUUCGGCGCCUUACG
Molecule: ribosomal RNA, 392 nt
Filed under: uncultured Glomeromycotina
Lineage: Eukaryota; Fungi; Glomeromycota
Description: SSU rRNA
Rfam family: Eukaryotic small subunit ribosomal RNA
Source: RNAcentral